RNAcentral lists this ribosomal RNA (867 nucleotides) under uncultured bacterium. Its description in RNAcentral is "bacterial SSU rRNA". It matches the Rfam family "Bacterial small subunit ribosomal RNA", at positions 26 to 887 of the family's 1533-position model. The record is from RNAcentral.
AGAUUGAACGCUGCGGGCAUGCUUUACACAUGCAAGUCGAACGGCAGCACGGGGGCAACCCUGGUGGCGAGUGGCGAACGGGUGAGUAAUAUAUCGGAACAUGUCCGGAAGUGGGGGAUAACGUACCGAAAGGUACGCUAAUACCGCAUAUGCCCUGAGGGGGAAAGGGGGGGAUCGUAAGACCUCUCGCUUUCGGAGUGGCCGAUAUCGGAUUAGCUAGUAGGUGAGGUAAAGGCUCACCUAGGCGACGAUCCGUAGCUGGUCUGAGAGGACGACCAGCCACACUGGGACUGAGACACGGCCCAGACUCCUACGGGAGGCAGCAGUGGGGAAUUUUGGACAAUGGGCGAAAGCCUGAUCCAGCCAUGCCGCGUGAGUGAAGAAGGCCUUCGGGUUGUAAAGCUCUUUCAGACGGAAAGAAAUCGCACUGAUUAAUACUCAGUGUGGAUGACGGUACCGUAAGAAGAAGCACCGGCUAACUACGUGCCAGCAGCCGCGGUAAUACGUAGGGUGCGAGCGUUAAUCGGAAUUACUGGGCGUAAAGCGUGCGCAGGCGGCUUUGUAAGACAGAUGUGAAAUCCCCGGGCUUAACCUGGGAACUGCAUUUGUGACUGCAAGGCUAGAGUGUAGCAGAGGGGGGUAGAAUUCCACGUGUAGCAGUGAAAUGCGUAGAGAUGUGGAGGAAUACCGAUGGCGAAGGCAGCCCCCUGGGCUAACACUGACGCUCAUGCACGAAAGCGUGGGGAGCAAACAGGAUUAGAUACCCUGGUAGUCCACGCCCUAAACGAUGUCAACUAGGUGUUGGGGAAGGAGACUUCUUUAGUACCGCAGCUAACGCGUGAAGUUGACCGCCUGGGGAGUACGGUC